AUGCAACCGAUGACAUACCUAACCUCGUCGCCGGUCGCCCGCAGGCGGCUCCUCUAUUCGGCCGCUUACUGCUGCGCCUCCAGGCGGAGACCCGAGAUGUUGUGGCGGUGGCCUUGUGGGAGAGAAGGGGGGCGGGGCAACCCCGCGGCGCGCGUGAACCCACGGCCGCCACCCCCGACGGCGACGGCAGAGGGGAGGGCCUUGCCUGCUCCGUGUAAUGCAAUCUGGUCCCUCAAAACGAAAACGUUGUGCAAUCUGGUCCCCCGAUCCCCGGGAGCGCGGUCUACCGCUGUAGGAAACGCAUGCGAAGCGCAGCUGUGCAUUUUGGCCCCGUGCCCGUGCGCCGUCAUUUCGCGGUGA
Molecule: ribosomal RNA, 360 nt
Filed under: Triticum aestivum (bread wheat)
Lineage: Eukaryota; Viridiplantae; Streptophyta; Magnoliopsida; Poales; Poaceae
Description: partial small subunit ribosomal RNA
Source: RNAcentral